GAAAUGCGAUAAGUAAUGUGAAUUGCAGAAUUCAGUGAAUCAUCGAAUCUUUGAACGCACAUUGCGCCCGCCAGUAUUCUGGCGGGCAUGCCUGUUCGAGCGUCAUUUCAACCAUCAAGCCCCCGGGCUUGUGUUGGGGACCUGCGGCUGCCGCAGGCCCCGAAAACCAGUGGCGGGCUCGCUGUCACACCGGGCGUAGUAGAUUUUUCGUCUCGCCCAGGGCGUGCUGCGGGUUCCGGCCGUUAAAAAGCCUCUCUUUUAACCCAAGGUUGACCUCGGAUCAGGUAGGAAGACCCGCUGAACUUACGC
RNAcentral lists this unclassified non-coding RNA (309 nucleotides) under plant metagenome. Its description in RNAcentral is "partial contains 5.8S ribosomal RNA, internal transcribed spacer 2, and large subunit ribosomal RNA". The stretch from base 1 to 105 matches the Rfam family "5.8S ribosomal RNA", at positions 50 to 154 of the family's 154-position model. The record is from RNAcentral.